GAUUAAGUUAUUAAGGGCGCACGGUGGAUGCCUUGGCACUAGAAGCCGAUGAAGGACGUUACUAACGACGAUAUGCUUUGGGGAGCUGUAAGUAAGCUUUGAUCCAGAGAUUUCCGAAUGGGGAAACCCAGCAUGAGUUAUGUCAUGUUAUCGAUAUGUGAAUACAUAGCAUAUCAGAAGGCACACCCGGAGAACUGAAACAUCUUAGUACCCGGAGGAAGAGAAAGAAAAUUCGAUU
RNAcentral lists this ribosomal RNA (238 nucleotides) under Staphylococcus aureus. Its description in RNAcentral is "partial 23S ribosomal RNA". It matches the Rfam family "Bacterial large subunit ribosomal RNA", at positions 1 to 236 of the family's 2925-position model. The record is from RNAcentral. Lineage: Bacteria; Bacillati; Bacillota; Bacilli; Caryophanales; Staphylococcaceae.